RNAcentral lists this ribosomal RNA (895 nucleotides) under Pentatrichomonas hominis. RNAcentral describes it as "SSU rRNA". It matches the Rfam family "Eukaryotic small subunit ribosomal RNA", at positions 425 to 1472 of the family's 1831-position model. The record is from RNAcentral. Lineage: Eukaryota; Parabasalia; Trichomonadida; Trichomonadidae.
GCAGCAGGCGCGAAACUUACCCACUCGAGACUUUCGGAGGAGGUAAUGACCAGUUUCAUGUGAAGCUUAUGCUUCUGUGAAUAGGAUCACACUUUUCCAGUGUGGUGAAACCUAGCAGAGGGCCAGUCUGGUGCCAGCAGCUGCGGUAAUUCCAGCUCUGCGAGUUUGCUCCCAUAUUGUUGCAGUUAAAACGCCCGUAGUCGGAAUUGGACAGCAAUGUCCCUACGUUUCAACGUUCACUGUGGACAAAUCAGGACGCUUAGAGUAUGGUAACAAGAAUGACUCAGCGCAGUAUGAAGUCUUUGUUUCUUUCGGGAAACAAGCUCAAUGAGAGCCAUCGGGGGUGGAUCUAUUUCAUGGCGAGUGGUGGAAUACUUUGACCCAUGAGAGAGACACGGAGGCGAAGGCGUCCACCUAGAGGGUUUCUGUCGAUCAAGGGCGAGAGUAGGAGUAUCCAACCGGAUUAGAGACCCGGGUAGUUCCUACUGUAAACGAUGCCGACAGAGGUUUGUCAUUUUAUAAUGGCAGAACUUUUAGAGAAAUCAUAGUUCUUGGGCUCUGGGGGAACUACGACCGCAAGGCUGAAACUUGAAGGAAUUGACGGAAGGGCACACCAGGGGUGGAGCCUGUGGCUUAAUUUGAAUCAACACGGGGAAACUUACCAGGACCAGAUGUUUUUUAUGACUGACAGGCUUCGGGUCUUUCAGGAUAUUGCUUUUGGUGGUGCAUGGCCGUUGGUGGUGCGUGGGUUGACCUGUCUAGCGUUGAUUCAGCUAACGAGCGAGAUUAUCGCCAAUUAUAUACCUCGCAUUGGCUUCAGUGCUGAGGUUCUAAUUGGGACUCCCUGCGAUUUUAGCAGGCGGAAGAGGGUAGCAAUAACAGGUCCGUGAUGUCC